RNAcentral lists this ribosomal RNA (465 nucleotides) under uncultured bacterium. RNAcentral describes it as "partial 16S ribosomal RNA". It matches the Rfam family "Bacterial small subunit ribosomal RNA", at positions 339 to 795 of the family's 1533-position model. The record is from RNAcentral.
CUACGGGCGGCAGCAGUGAGGAAUUUUGCGCAAUGGGGGAAACCCUGACGCAGCAACGCCGCGUGAGUGAAGAAGGCCUUUGGGUCGUAAAGCUCUGUCAACUGGGAAGAAGUUAGAAUUGUUUAAUAGAUGAUUCUAUUGACGGUACCAGUGGAGGAAGCGCCGGCUAACUCCGUGCCAGCAGCCGCGGUAACACGGGGGGCGCAAGCGUUAUUCGGAAUUAUUGGGCGUAAAGGGCGCGCAGGCGGUCUUGUCAGUCAGGUGUGAAAGCCCGGGGCUCAACCCUGGAAGUGCACUUGAAACAGCAAGACUAGAGUACGGGAGAGGAGAGAGGAAUUCCUGGUGUAGAGGUGAAAUUCGUAGAUAUCAGGAGGAACACCGAUGGCGAAGGCAUCUCUCUGGACCGAUACUGACGCUGAGGCGCGAAGGCGUGGGUAGCGAACGGGAUUAGAUACCCUUGUAGUC